This 69-nucleotide transfer RNA is filed under the name Marmota marmota marmota (Alpine marmot). It matches the Rfam family "tRNA". From Rfam's summary of the family: Transfer RNA (tRNA) molecules are approximately 80 nucleotides in length. Their secondary structure includes four short double-helical elements and three loops (D, anti-codon, and T loops). The record is from Rfam by way of RNAcentral. RNAcentral also lists the same sequence under 2 other names. Lineage: Eukaryota; Metazoa; Chordata; Mammalia; Rodentia; Sciuridae.
GGGGUUGUGGCUCAGCGGUAGAGCGCUCGCCUAGCAUGUGCGAGGCCCUGGGUUCAAUCCUCAGCACCA